CGGUAAUUCCAGCUCCAAUAGCGUAUACUAAAGUUGUUGCAGUUAAAAAGCUCGUAGUUGGAUUUCUGCGGGGACGGAGCGGCCGGACGCAACUUGCGUCUCGAGCUAGCGCUUUCCCCGCAUCCUGCCGCGAACCGUGCUACCAUUAGCUUGGUGGCGCUGGGGAUCGGCUCGAUUACUUUGAGAAAAAUAGAGUGUUCAAAGCAGGCCACACGCCUUGAAUAAGUUAGCAUGGAAUAAUGACUAAGGACUUCGGUUCUAUUUUGUUGGUGUUCGGGACUGAAGUAAUGAUUGAUAGGGACAGUUGGGGCGGUCUGUAUUCCAAAGCGAGAGGUGAAAUUCUUAGACCUUCGGAAGACAAACAGCUGCGAAAGCGUUCCGCAAGGAUGUUCCCUUUGAUCAAGAACGAAAGUUGGGGGAUCGAAGACGAUCAGAUACCGUCGUAGUCUCAACUAUAAACUAUACCAGCUAGGGAUCGGUCAACGUUUAAUCAUUCGACUUGAUCGGCACCUUAUGAGAAAUCAAAGCAUCUGGGUUCCGGGGGGAGUAUGGUCGCAAGGCUGAAACUUAAAGGAAUUGACGGAAGGGCACCACCAGCCGUGGAGCCUGUGGCUUAAUUUGACUCAACACGGGAAAACUUACCAGGUCCAGACAUAGUAAGGAUUGACAGAUUGAUAGCUCUUUCUUGAUUCUGUGGGUGGUGGUGCAUGGCCGUUCUUAGUUGGUGGAGUGAUUUGUCUGGUUAAUUCCGUUAACGAACGAGACCCCAGCCUGCUAAAUAGCGCGGCUGAGCUUUGCUCGGUGCGAGCUUCUUAGAGGGACUAUGAUGCGCGAUAGCACAUGGAAGUUUGGGGCAAUAACAGGUCUGUGAUGCCCUUAGAUGUUCUGGUCCGCACACGGGCUACACUGGCGCCUGCAACGAGCAUAUCAGCUGGCCCGAGAGGGUCUUGGCUAAUCUUUUGAACCGGCGCCGUGCUUGGGAUUGACCAUUGCAAUUGUUGGUCAUGCAACGAGGAAUGCCUUGUAAACGCGAGUCAUCAGCUCGCAUUGAAUACGUCCCUGCCCUUUGUACACACCGCCCGUCGCUCCUACCGAUGAAUGUUCCGAUGAAAUUUUCGGAGAGCGCCAGAGAACGGGGCUCUGCCUUGCAGAUCUGGAGGCUCAAAGUCACUUAAAUCUGAACAUUUCGAGGAAGGAGAAGUCGUAACAAGGUAACC
RNAcentral lists this ribosomal RNA (1217 nucleotides) under uncultured Rhizaria. RNAcentral describes it as "SSU rRNA". It matches the Rfam family "Eukaryotic small subunit ribosomal RNA", at positions 577 to 1804 of the family's 1831-position model. The record is from RNAcentral.